RNAcentral lists this transfer RNA (73 nucleotides) under Neotoma lepida (desert woodrat). It matches the Rfam family "tRNA". Rfam says of the family: Transfer RNA (tRNA) molecules are approximately 80 nucleotides in length. Their secondary structure includes four short double-helical elements and three loops (D, anti-codon, and T loops). Further hydrogen bonds mediate the characteristic L-shaped molecular structure. tRNAs have two regions of fundamental functional importance: the anti-codon, which is responsible for specific mRNA codon recognition, and the 3' end, to which the tRNAs corresponding amino acid is attached (by aminoacyl-tRNA synthetases). tRNAs cope with the degeneracy of the genetic code in two manners: having more than one tRNA (with a specific anti-codon) for a particular amino acid; and 'wobble' base-pairing, i.e. permitting non-standard base-pairing at the 3rd anti-codon position. Lineage: Eukaryota; Metazoa; Chordata; Mammalia; Rodentia; Cricetidae. The record is from Rfam by way of RNAcentral.
UGGGAUGUAGCUCGGUUGGUAGAGCACUUGCCUAGCAUGCAGAAAAUCUUGGGUUCGAACUCCAGCACUACAU